CCGACACAGGUGGUCAGGUAGAGAAUACCAAGGCGCUUGAGAGAACUCGGGUGAAGGAACUAGGCAAAAUGGUGCCGUAACUUCGGGAGAAGGCACGCUGAUAUGUAGGUGAAGUCCCUCGCGGAUGGAGCUGAAAUCAGUCGAAGAUACCAGCUGGCUGCAACUGUUUAUUAAAAACACAGCACUGUGCAAACACGAAAGUGGACGUAUACGGUGUGACGCCUGCCCGGUGCCGGAAGGUUAAUUGAUGGGGUCAGCGCAAGCGAAGCUCUUGAUCGAAGCCCCGGUAAACGGCGGCCGUAACUAUAACGGUCCUAAGGUAGCGAAAUUCCUUGUCGGGUAAGUUCCGACCUGCACGAAUGGCGUAAUGAUGGCCAGGCUGUCUCCACCCGAGACUCAGUGAAAUUGAACUCGCUGUGAAGAUGCAGUGUACCCGCGGCAAGACGGAAAGACCCCGUGAACCUUUACUAUAGCUUGACACUGAACAUUGAGCCUUGAUGUGUAGGAUAGGUGGGAGGCUUUGAAGUGUGGACGCCAGUCUGCAUGGAGCCGACCUUGAAAUACCACCCUUUAAUGUUUGAUGUUCUAACGUGGACCCGUGAUCCGGGUUGCGGACAGUGUCUGGUGGGUAGUUUGACUGGGGCGGUCUCCUCCUAAAGAGUAACGGAGGAGCACGAAGGUUGGCUAAUCCUGGUCGGACAUCAGGAGGUUAGUGCAAUGGCAUAAGCCAGCUUGACUGCGAGCGUGACGGCGCGAGCAGGUGCGAAAGCAGGUCAUAGUGAUCCGGUGGUUCUGAAUGGAAGGGCCAUCGCUCAACGGAUAAAAGGUACUCCGGGGAUAACAGGCUGAUACCGCCCAAGAGUUCAUAUCGACGGCGGUGUUUGGCACCUCGAUGUCGGCUCAUCACAUCCUGGGGCUGAAGUAGGUCCCAAGGGUAUGGCUGUUCGCCAUUUAAAGUGGUACGCGAGCUGGGUUUAGAACGUCGUGAGACAGUUCGGUCCCUAUCUGCCGUGGGCGCUGGAGAACUGAGGGGGGCUGCUCCUAGUACGAGAGGACCGGAGUGGACGCAUCACUGGUGUUCGGGUUGUCAUGCCAAUGGCACUGCCCGGUAGCUAAAUGCGGAAGAGAUAAGUGCUGAAAGCAUCUAAGCACGAAACUUGCCCCGAGAUGAGUUCUCCCUGACCCUUUAAGGGUCCUGAAGGAACGUUGAAGACGACGACGUUGAUAGGCCGGGUGUGUAAGCGCAGCGAUGCGUUGAGCUAACCGGUACUAAUGAACCGUGAGGCUUAACCUU
Molecule: ribosomal RNA, 1294 nt
Filed under: Escherichia coli
Lineage: Bacteria; Pseudomonadati; Pseudomonadota; Gammaproteobacteria; Enterobacterales; Enterobacteriaceae
Description: partial 23S ribosomal RNA
Rfam family: Bacterial large subunit ribosomal RNA
Source: RNAcentral